This 750-nucleotide ribosomal RNA is filed under the name uncultured Peptoniphilus sp. Its description in RNAcentral is "bacterial SSU rRNA". It matches the Rfam family "Bacterial small subunit ribosomal RNA", at positions 28 to 776 of the family's 1533-position model. Lineage: Bacteria; Bacillati; Bacillota; Tissierellia; Tissierellales; Peptoniphilaceae. The record is from RNAcentral.
GACGAACGCUGGCGGCGCGCUUAACACAUGCAAGUCGAGCGAUGAAAUCUUAACAGAACCCUUCGGGGCGAAGAUAAGAGGGAUUAGCGGCGGACGGGUGAGUAACACGUGAGUAACCUGCCUUUUACACAGGGAUAGCCUCGGGAAACCGGGAUUAAAACCUGAUGAAACUAUCAAAUCACAUGAUUAAGAAAGUUAAAACUCCGGUGGUAAAAGAUGGACUCGCGUCCCAUUAGCUAGUUGGUGAAGGUAACGGCCCACCAAGGCAACGAUGGGUAGCCGGCCUGAGAGGGUGAACGGCCACAUUGGAACUGAGAAACGGUCCAAACUCCUACGGGAGGCAGCAGUGGGGAAUACUGCACAAUGGGGGAAACCCUGAUGCAGCGACGCCGCGUGAGCGAAGAAGGCCUUCGGGUCGUAAAGCUCUUUUAUAUGGGAAGAUAAUGACGGUACCAUAAGAAAAAGCCCCGGCUAACUACGUGCCAGCAGCCGCGGUAAUACGUAGGGGGCUAGCGUUGUCCGGAAUCACUGGGCGUAAAGGGUUCGCAGGCGGCAAUGCAAGUCAGAUGUAAAAGGCAAAGGCUCAACCUUUGUAAGCAUCUGAAACUGUAUAGCUUGAGAAGUGUAGAGGUAAGUGGAAUUUUUAGUGUAGCGGUGAAAUGCGUAGAUAUUAAAAAGAAUACCGGUGGCGAAGGCGACUUGCUGGGCACAAUCUGACGCUGAGGAACGAAAGCGUGGGGAGCAAACAGG